GAUGAACGCUGGCGGCGUGCCUAAUACAUGCAAGUCGAGCGAACGGACGAGAAGCUUGCUUCUCUGAUGUUAGCGGCGGACGGGUGAGUAACACGUGGAUAACCUACCUAUAAGACUGGGAUAACUUCGGGAAACCGUAGCUAAUAACGGAUAAUAUUUUGAACCGCAUGGUUCAAAAGUGAAAGACGGUCUUGCUGUCACUUAUAGAUGGAUCCGCGCUGCAUUUGCUAGUUGGUAAGGUAACGGCUUACCAAGGCAACGAUGCAUAGCCGACCUGAGAGGGUGAUCGGCCACAGUGGAACGGAGACCCGGUCGAGACUCCUACGAGAGGCAGCAGUAGAGGAUCGUCCGCAAUGGGCAAAAGUCUGACAGAGCAACGCCGCGUGAGUAAUGAAGGUCUGCGGAUCGUAAAACUCUGUUAGUAGUGAAGAACAUAUGUGUAAGUAACUGUGCACAGCUUGGCUGUACCUAAACAGAAAACCGCGGCUAUCUGCG
This 495-nucleotide ribosomal RNA is filed under the name uncultured bacterium. RNAcentral describes it as "partial 16S ribosomal RNA". It matches the Rfam family "Bacterial small subunit ribosomal RNA", at positions 28 to 505 of the family's 1533-position model. The record is from RNAcentral.